RNAcentral lists this ribosomal RNA (253 nucleotides) under uncultured bacterium. Its description in RNAcentral is "partial 16S ribosomal RNA". It matches the Rfam family "Bacterial small subunit ribosomal RNA", at positions 524 to 776 of the family's 1533-position model. The record is from RNAcentral.
UACGUAGGGUGCGAGCGUUAAUCGGAAUUACUGGGCGUAAAGCGUGCGCAGGCGGUUCGCUGUGUCCGAUGUGAAAGCCCCGGGCUUAACCUGGGAAUGGCAUUGGAAACUGGCGGGCUUGAGUGCGGCAGAGGGGGGUGGAAUUCCGCGUGUAGCAGUGAAAUGCGUAGAGAUGCGGAGGAACACCGAUGGCGAAGGCAGCCCCCUGGGUCGACACUGACGCUCAUGCACGAAAGCGUGGGGAGCAAACAGG